GCAUGGUAAUGGAUUUUACCACAGAGCAGGCACUUCUCUGUGGGCCUCUCAUAGUGUACCCAUGCCAGAGUAAACUACAGCCUCGAACCAUGGCCCAGCCUCCUUAACCCAUGGGCUGUGAGCACUGAAGGGGGUUGCAUAGUG
Molecule: small nucleolar RNA, 144 nt
Filed under: Carlito syrichta (Philippine tarsier)
Lineage: Eukaryota; Metazoa; Chordata; Mammalia; Primates; Tarsiidae
Description: Small nucleolar RNA SNORA42/SNORA80 family (ENSTSYG00000021228.2)
Rfam family: Small nucleolar RNA SNORA42/SNORA80 family
About the family: The members of this family belong to the H/ACA class of snoRNAs that guide the sites of modification of uridines to pseudouridines.
Source: Rfam by way of RNAcentral